GAUGAACGCUAGCGGCAGGCCUAAUACAUGCAAGACGAACGGCAAUCCCGACAGCAAUGUCGGGACUAGAGUGUCGUAAGGGUGCGUAACACGUAUGCAAUCUGCCCUGUACAGGAGGAUAGCUCCCCGAAAGGGGAAUUAACACUCCAUAAGAUGUUUGUGUGGCAUCACACGAAUAUUAAAACUGAGGUGGUACAGGAUGAGCAUGCGCAUGAUUAGUUAGUUGGCGGGGUAAAGGCCCACCAAGACGAUGAUCAUUAGGGGAACUGA
Molecule: ribosomal RNA, 270 nt
Filed under: uncultured bacterium
Lineage: Bacteria
Description: partial 16S ribosomal RNA
Rfam family: Bacterial small subunit ribosomal RNA
Source: RNAcentral